RNAcentral lists this ribosomal RNA (484 nucleotides) under uncultured bacterium. RNAcentral describes it as "partial 16S ribosomal RNA". It matches the Rfam family "Bacterial small subunit ribosomal RNA", at positions 29 to 507 of the family's 1533-position model. The record is from RNAcentral.
AUUGAACGCUGGCGGAAUGCUUUACACAUGCAAGUCGAGCGGCAGCGCGGCCUUCGGGCUGGCGGCGAGCGGCGAACGGGUGAGUAAUGCAUCGGAACAUGCCCAGUCGUGGGGGAUAACACUUCGAAAGAAGUGCUAAUACCGCAUACGUCCUGAGGGGGAAAGCGGGGGAUCGCAAGACCUCGCGCGAUUGGAGUGGCUGAUGUCAGAUUAGCUAGUUGGUGGGGUAAAGGCCUACCAAGGCGACGAUCUGUAGCUGGUCUGAGAGGAUGAUCAGCCACACUGGGACUGAGACACGGCCCAGACUCCUACGGGAGGCAGCAGUGGGGAAUUUUGGACAAUGGGGGCAACCCUGAUCCAGCCAUGCCGCGUGAGUGAAGAAGGCCUUCGGGUUGUAAAGCUCUUUCGGCAGGAACGAAACGGUGGGCUCUAACAUAGUCCGCUAAUGACGGUACCUGAAGAAGAAGCACCGGCUAACUACGUG